Molecule: ribosomal RNA, 247 nt
Filed under: uncultured cyanobacterium
Lineage: Bacteria; Bacillati; Cyanobacteriota
Description: partial 16S ribosomal RNA
Rfam family: Bacterial small subunit ribosomal RNA
Source: RNAcentral
UCAGUUCAGAUCGUAGGCUGCAACUCGCCUACGUGAAGGAGGAAUCGCUAGUAAUCGCAGGUCAGCAUACUGCGGUGAAUACGUUCCCGGGCCUUGUACACACCGCCCGUCACACCAUGGAAGUUGGCCACGCCCGAAGCCGUUACUCCAACCCUUGUGGAGGAGGACGUCGAGGGUGGGGCUGAUGACUGGGGUGAAGUCGUAACAAGGUAUCCGUACCGGAAGGUGCGGAUGGAUCACCUCCUAA